Molecule: microRNA precursor, 94 nt
Filed under: Citrus sinensis (sweet orange)
Lineage: Eukaryota; Viridiplantae; Streptophyta; Magnoliopsida; Sapindales; Rutaceae
Description: miR482f stem-loop (csi-MIR482f)
Gene: csi-MIR482f
Source: miRBase by way of RNAcentral
GGGAAGUCUUGGAGAUGGGUGAGUUGGGAAAAUAAUAACUUUCUUCACGAAAGAAAGCAAUUUUUUUCCCACACCUCCCAUCCCUAAGAUUUUC